This is a long non-coding RNA of Oreochromis niloticus (Nile tilapia), 2651 nucleotides long. RefSeq lists it as uncharacterized. Lineage: Eukaryota; Metazoa; Chordata; Actinopteri; Cichliformes; Cichlidae. The record is from RefSeq and is a predicted model, not a curated record. The transcript is spliced from 3 exons.
CUUCAAUGCGGGCUACAGCCGUGAGAAAAAUCACUGACCCGCUGGGGGAAAGCGCGGCUCUUUUCCUGACAUGCUCUUUCUGUCCCAAACUCGGAAGACCGGGGCCAUUAUUGCGUCAAAUGCGAUGAUCGGAUGCCUGAACAUUCUUUGUUUCCCAACAAAGGCGUGAUGAGGUCAGGACAGGGGGGACAUGCAGGCGAGGGCUGGGAAAACAGAGGGGGAGGAGAGAGGACAGCCAAUGAUGACGUCAUGCAAGAAAGCAAUCAGACUUCAAGUGUGUGUGCACAUGUGUUACUUCUGGAGACAUUAAUCUGUUGAUAUAGUCUUAUACCUCCUGGGGACACCUCCAUUACAAUUGGUGAACCUCUGCCCAUCUUCAGCUCUGAGAAACUGCCUCUUUAAGAUGUUCUUUUUAUAUCCAAUCAUGUUACUGACCUGCUGCCAGUUAAUCUAAUUAGUUGAAAAAUGUUCCUCAAACUGUUUCUUUUUAAUAUCACUUACUUUUCCAGCCUUUUUGUUGCACUGAUCACAACUUUUUGAGAGAUGUUGCUGCUAUUAAACUCUAAAUGAGCUCAAAUUUUCACAAAAAAGUCAAAUGUCUUUAUAAUUUAAACAUUUAUAUGUUUUCUGUUCUACUGUGAAUAAAAUGUGGGUUUAUGAGAUUUGCAAAUCAUUGUAUUCUGUUUUCAUUCAUAGCAUAUUUAAAAGUAUUUGAAAAAUAUAUGCUUAAUUUAAUUCAGUACCAGCAACAUAUUUCAAAAAAGCUGUGUGCUGUGACAUCAGAGCUUAGGAAGAGAGCCUUGUUUUCAGUGCACAGUUCUAAGGUUACAUCUGUGAUCAUUUCAGUGUGCAUUGCUGCAAACAGCAUGGGUAACUUGCUCAUUUGCGAAAGGACCAUUAAAUAAUAAUACUAAACAAUUCAAAUAGGUGUUGGAGCAACAUAUGCUGCUUCUCAAGGAACAUUGUUUUUUCGAGGAAAGCCUUGCUUAUUUGAGCAUGACAGCACCAAACUACAUACAUUUAGCAUGUCGUAAAAGAGUCAGCGAGCUAAGGUGGCAUCCAGACCAGACCAAUCACAAAAGGAACACAUCAGGGAGGAUAAAACAUUCUGACUAAGAACUCUGACAAAGGAGGGCUCAAACUGUUGUUUAGGUAAACUGCUACAUCAAGCAAAGAAUGUUAAAAAAUGCUAAAAUUAGAGGUCAUGCAAGACAAAAGAGCAGGGUUUAAAAUGGGUGUAGUGUCCUGAAAUGUGUAUGAAUUGGAAUAAUAAUUGACUUUUAGUUAAUUGCUGUUGCAACAAAAGCAGCAUGAUGUGCAUAACCAUGAUCAAGUCAUUUCCACUGGUUAAUCAACUAACUUCAUGCUAUCUGUUUGUCUCUGGUGCCCUCUAGGGGCAGUGUUUUUGUCUCCUUCUUAUACUUCCUAUAUCCUAAAAGGACAUGUCUUGAAAGCAGAUAAGAAAUAAAAAAGAAAAAAAAAUCUGCAAAUUUUGCACAGUGUUAAUCUCAAGUACAUGCUCUCAUCAAAACCAAAGAUGCACUAAAAUAAGUGGAUUCGUGUUUCUGCUCACUUUAUGAAGCUCACUGUAAUUUUUAUUGGAAAAUUUUACAAUAUAAUUUCGAAAAAUGCAAACUAGCUAAUAUAUUCAUGAGCUCUCGCAGACGUUUGCACCUCAUUAGUAUUUCUAAAAGUAUAUCAGUGUUCCAUUAUGUACUGCUGAUAGCACCGAUUUAGAAACCAACCAUCUACUCGUACAUUAUCAGCUACUAUGGCUGCUUAUAUUACAUUAUCCAUCACAACAUGGUUUUCAGUUGUAGCACUAAAGUGCACUUAUUAGAGUGAGACUUCAAUCUCCAUGGCGAUCAGCUAGUCUUUUCUAUAUAACUGCAUGUUUUUCAGGUUAAAGAAAGAAACCUUUAUGUGAGCUGUCCAUUCAAAGUGUCCUUGGAUUUUGAAAUAGUUUGAUGGAGGGAAUAAAAGGCUUUGUAUCAUGUUCUGACUACUGCAUUGGACACACAAAUGAUUUGGUGUGCUCCAGUGGUACACCUUCUCUCUAAAACAUCAGCAUAUCCCUCCUCCAGAAAUACAAAUUUGAUUUAUGUUAGUGUACAGUGGAAAAAUAACAUGACACGCCGCCGGUUCUGCAGACUUUUCGCCAGGCUCUGUGAUUCAUAAAGCAAAGAGUUGCUCUGUUUCAAGCUUCAACACUUGGAAAAAGUCGUGAGCAAUUCAGAAAAUAAAGGGGCUUCCAGAAUAUGCAAUCACAGUUCAGGAAUAAUAAAAUCCGUCAUACACAGAUUUAUGUCAGGCGGUGCAGGGAUGUGUUGUUAAGUGGGAUUUGUUAUGAAAACACUGUGGAACUGUUAAAUAACAGAUAUAAAUACAUAUACGGCAAAUGGCUAAUGUCUCCGUGACAGCAUUUCAGGAAAAGAGGAUAAGAGGAUAAACAAAAUUAAUUUGCGCUCGCACGUCACACCUCCAAUGUCCAUGAUAUGGGCAAUUAUCUGUACUCUGUCUACCAAACAUUUACCCAGAAUUAGACAGGAAACACCUGCAGGUCAAGUGCUAAAAAUAGAAGCGUGCCAGAACAGAUCAGAGUGUUUCGUGCCCCCCAUCACACACACACACACACACACACACACACACAC